AUCGCAUCGGCCUCUAUUCGUUUGCAUGCAUUUAGAAUUAAGGUCGAACUAAAUUACAGCCUGACUACAACGAUUCUGUGCGGAGAAAGAACAACAAGCAUCAUCAAGACAUGGAAAGACGGUCAUCUGUGACGCAUCCAGUUGAUGAACAUGAAAUGCGACCGCCUUCGAGGUCAUCGUCUCCUCCUUAUUACGCUCCAUCAUCCUCGGAACCACAGCAACAGAUGUAUUCCCCUCACGGACAGCAGUAUAACUCGAACCCGCAGUUGAACUCGCAACAGGCUCCAUACUAGUCUCCAAAUCCGCAGAUGAUGCAUGGACAACCUGGGCAGCAAUACGCUCCAAAUCAAGUUCCGGUUCAACCGUAUCACCCGCAUAUGCAACAGUAUGGACAACCGCCGCCUCAACAGCAAUUCAUGCAAUCCUCACAACAGGUCGUCAUCGUCAAUCAGCCAGCGGCGACCCCGAUGAAGGGCUUGCGAGUCUGUGACGUCAAAGGACACCGGGAUUGGUCUACUGGACUGUGAGGAUGUUUCUCCGACUGUGGUUCCAGGCGAUAUCUGCUACGACAUCCUUGCAGUAGCUUGUUGUGCUGAGCUGGCGCUCUGUCAGAUGAUGAGGGAGUUGGAUGCCAUGGGACUUUAAAACGACACAUGCAUCGGCAUUUCUUGGUGCCCUUCCAUUCGAUUCAGUUUCUAAAUAUAGUAUAUGCAUGAUUAGAAACAAACACGCUUUCUUUGUUAAAAGAUGCAUGGAUUAUAUAAUGAGGAUGUAGCAGUGUUACGAUUUAAAAUGUUUACUAAAAAGUUAACGUGAUAUGAUGACAUUAAAAGCCUGUUUAGUCUAUUUUUGCAGCAUAUUUUGUGAAUGUAGCAUAUUUACAAAAAAAAUACAAUAAACUGCCUAUUUAGAAUAUUUAGUAGCAUAACUAUCAUUAUACAGCAAUUAAGCACGCUUAUUUAAUAGGAUAUAAUAAACAGCGCAUGAGCCUAUUUAGCAGCAUAUUUUAAAUUUAUAUUUAGCAUGUUUGCUUUAUAAGAUAAAAUAACAGCCUAUUUAGUCUAUUUAUUAGCAUUACUUACUUUUUGCAUAAUUAGCAUAUUUAGUUAUUUAUUUACUCUAUAAGAUGAAAUUAAAAGCUUAUUUAGACUUUUUUGCAGUUUAUUUAGCCUGCUUCUCAUGUUUAUGAAAUAGAAGAAAUAAAAUGAAAUAAACAAUA
This is a long non-coding RNA of Dreissena polymorpha, 1219 nucleotides long. RefSeq lists it as uncharacterized. The transcript has 3 exons. The record is from RefSeq and is a predicted model, not a curated record. NCBI's taxonomy places the organism in Eukaryota, Metazoa, Mollusca, Bivalvia, Myida, Dreissenidae.